UUGUGUUUUGUUGUCUCUCAGUAUUUAUUUAAUACGAGAAACACAAACUCUCUCCCACACUUAACGUUACAAAUAACAACCAGCAGAUGGCAGCACCGCACCAACGUAACAUCUCGUUAAACUAACGCGAGAGGAUGACUUCACUGUGCGCAGGCGCAAUUACUUGCUAAACAACAACAACAACAACAACAGUAGCCAACAAGACAAAAGCUACAAGCUAACGGCGAAAAUCUUGAGUGAACGUCUCCUAAACAGAGGUGUAGUCAGUGAAUGCAGCACCACACAGACAGCGAUGGAGAUGAGUCACAUCACAUGGACUGUGAAAGGAAUGACACUUCCAGUGUCAGUAUGGACUUUCAUAUUAGAUGUUCUGCUGCCUCAGUGGAUGAGAUGAUGGAGAUGGAGGAACAUCCUACAGAACUGAUACUAACACCUCCUCUGCGCUGAUGCUGCUGGAUUUCCUGCCUGCGAGGAUGAAGUCCUGGAAAUGGAGGACCACCAUACAGACCUACUGAUGCUGCUGGUUCUGCUGCCUCAGUGGAUGAGAUGAUGGAGAUGGAGGAACAUCCUACAGAACUGAUACCAACACCUCCUCUGUGCUGAUGCUGCUGGAUUUCCUGCCUGGGUGAAUGAAGUCCUGGAAAUGGAGGACCAUCAUACAGACCUACUGAUGCUGCUGGGUGUUGAUGACGACAGCGGCUGGCCCCUGACUCAAGUUAUGUUAUUUGUUGCCCCUGUGGGUAAGAAAUAGCAUUUCUUGGGUGUGAAAGGGGGGGGUGUAGAAGUGUUUUUUUCACCUGUUUCCUGUCUUUUUCAAUAAAAAAUGUUCUACACCCCCCUAGUUUUCAUGUGAGGGCUCAUUACGAGUCCCUGGUUUCAUCACGCCCUUAUCAAGCAAGCCCAGGAAUCGAACCACCGGCCAGCCUCACAGUAGUCAGUUGUGUUUGCGCCAUUGACCUUCUGACUGAGCUAUCUGUGAGCUACCAAUGAUGUGUUCGGAACUUGUAUUUAUUGUGUGUUUUUUUGGACCUGAAAGGCCAUAAAAGCUCAAGUGUUCUCUGUGGGUCUUGAACUAACUACCUUUGAGGUGCAGGGGAUGAGUUUGGCACUGGUUUUAACCACUGAGCUAUUCUGUCAGCUAAUACCGCAUAUUUGGAAGUUGUAUUUAUUGUGUUUGCUUCCACUCCUCUGUUUUUCGGGUGAAAAGCAAGCGCUUGAGCAGGACUUGAUCUCACAACCUUGGAAUCUGUAGUGAAAGUGUGCCUUUUGCCUGAUGCUUAGACCACUGAGCUAAACUCAAAGUUAGGAAGUUGGAGUCAAUUUCCAAGUAUAAGAAAUGUAUACAGCUGAAACCCUGAGGCGUGAGAAGGGAUGGAAAUUUUGAAAAAAUAGAUCCCGCUGUGGGAUUUGAACUCACAAUCUCAAAAGUUGUAGGAUUGUGUGACAGUUGCCCCAUUUCUUUUCCACUGUACCACAGCUGAAUUGCUGAUGUGAGAGGUUUUUUUUUGGUAUUUGAGGCGUAAACUUGAACUGUGAGGACAGACUCUGCUCCAUCUCCAAGUUGGGUCUAGGCCUUUGGCUCAAAGAGGUCAGGAAGGGGAAGUGAACCAGACUGAAAGUCAUGUGAAGUCUGUGAUACAGACAACUCACCACUACACCAGCCUAACCUGCCAUGUGACAGAGUCUGGUCGACACCAGCUCUGAAUGGAAAGUGUCCUGACAUUACUUCUGUUAUGAUUUGAUGCUUUAUAAAUAAAAUUGGAUUUGGAUUAUUGAAGUGGUUCAGUGUUUUCUCCAUGAACACUGAUGUUCAUAGUGCUGUCAGAGGUUUAAUGUAUUACCCGCAUAUAUUUUUUUGUUAGUGUUUCUGUAAAGUCCUGUACCAGUUUUAGAGCACUGAGAUUUUACUAGUUAGUAUUAGUUGAUUUGUCCACUUAAUAUUUUUUGGGUAACAGUCAUUGCAGACUCUAUCACAUGGCAGGUUAGGCUGGUGUAGUGGUGAGUUGUGUAAAAGCUCAAAUAUUCUUUGCAGGUCUUGAACCAACUCCCUCUCAGUGCAGGGGAUGAGUCUCAUACUGGUCUUAAACACUGAGCUAUUCUCUCAGAUACUGCUGAAGUGUUUGGAACUUGUAUUUAUUGUGUGUUUUUUUGGACCUGAAAAUAUGUAAAAGCUCAAGUGUUGUCUGUGGGCCUUGAACAAACUACUUUCAAAUGCAGGGGAUGAGACUUGUACUAGUUUUAACCACUGAGCUUUUCCAUCAGCUGAUACUGCAGAUUUGGAAGUUGUAUUUAUUGUGUUUGCUUCCGCUCCUCUGUUUUUUGAGUGAAAAGCAAAUACCAGAUUAGGACUUGCUACUGGUGAAGUGUUUGGAACUUGUAUUUAUUGUGUGUUUUUUUGGACCCGAAAAUGUGUAAAUAAUCAAGUGUUUUCUGUGGGUCUUGAACUAGCCACCAUUAAGUACAAGGGAUGAGUCUUGUACUAAUUUUAAUCACUGAGCUAUUUUGUUAACUGGUGAUAGAAAGUUGGAAGUUGUAUUUAUUGUGUUGGUUUCCGCUCCUCUGUUUUUUGGGUGAAAAGGAAGAACCAGAGGGGGAUUUGAUCUUACAACCUUGGAAUCUGUAGCGAAAGUGUGCUUCUUGCCUGAUGCUUAGACCACUGAGCUAAAUUUGAGUUUAGAAAGUUGGAGUCAAUUUCCAAGUAUAAGAAAUGUAUACAGCUGAAACCCUGAGGAGCGAGAAGGGAUGGAAAUUUUGAAAAAAUAGAUCCCACUGUGGGAUUUGAACUCACAAUCUCAAAAGUUGUAGGAUUGUAUGACAGUUAUCCCAUUUCUUUUCCACUGUACCACAGCUGAAUUGCUGAUGUGAGAGGGUUUUUUUUGGUAUUUGAGGUGUAAACUUGAACUGUGAGGACAGACUCUGCUCCAUCUCCAAGUUGGGUCUAGGCCUUUGGCUCAAAGAGGUCAGGAAGGGGAAGUGAACCAGACUGAAAGUCAUGUGAAGUCUGUGAUACAGACAACUCACCACUACACCAUCCUAACCUGCCAUGUGACAGAGUCUGGUCGACACCAGCUCUGAAUGGAAAGUGUCCUGACAUUACUUCUGUUAUGAUUUGAUGCUUUAUAAAUAAAAUUGGAUUUGGAUUAUUCCAAAUCCAAAGUUCAGUGUUUUCUCUGUGAAGACUGAUGUUCAUAGUGCUGUCAGAGGUUUAAUGUAUUACCUGCAGUCUGUUUUUUGUUAGUGUUUCUGUAAAGUCCUGUACCAGUUUUAGAGCACUGAGAUUUUACUAGUUAGUAUUAGUUGAUUUGUCCACUUAUUAUUUUUUGGGUAACAGUCAUUGCAGACUCUAUCACAUGGCAGGUUAGGCUGGUGUAGUGGUGAGUUGUCUGUAUCACAGACUUCACAUGACUUUCAGUCUGGUUCACUUCCCCUUCCUGACCUCUUUGAGCCUCUUUGAGCCUGACCUACUUGGAGUUCAAGUUUACACCUCAAAUACCAAAAAAAAAAACCUUCACAUCAAUAAUUCAGCAGUGGCACAGUGGUUAAGAAAUGGGACAACUGUCACACAACUGUUUAACUUUUGAGAUUGUGAGUUCAAAUCCCACACCAGGAUCUAUUUUUUCAAAAUUCCCAUCCCUUCUCACACCUCAGGGUUUCAGCUGUAUACAUUUCUUAUAAUUGGAAAUUCAAUCCAACUUUCUUAGCUCAAAUUCAGCUCAGUGGUCUAAGCAUCAGGCAAAAGGCACGCUUUCACUACAGAUUCCAAUGUUGUGAGAUCAAGUGCCACUCAGGUACUUGCUUUUCACUCAAAAAACAGAGGAGUGGAAGCAAACACAAUAAAUACAACUUCCAAAUUUCUACCACCAGUUGACAAAAUAGCUCAGUGAUUAAAAUUAGUACAAGACUCAUCCCUUGUACUUAAUGGUGGCUAGUUCAAGACCCACAGAGAACACUUGAUUAUUUACACAUUUUCGGGUCCAAAAAAACACACAAUAAAUACAAGUUCCAAACACUUCACCAGUAGCUGACAGAAUAGCUCAGUGUUUAAAACCAGUAUAAGACUCAUCCCCUGCACUGAAAGGGAGCUAGUUCAAGACCUGCAAAGAACAUUUUAGCUUUUACACAACUCACCACUACACCAGCCUAACCUGCCAUGUGAUAGAGUCUGCAAUGACUGUUACCCAAAAAAUUAUAAGUGGACAGAUCAACUAAUACUAACUAGUAAAAUCUCAGUGCUCUAAAACUGGUACAGGACUUUACAGAAACACUAACAAAAAAAUAUAUGCGGGUAAUACAUUAAACCUCUGACAGCACUAUGAACAUCAGUGUUCAUGGAGAAAACACUGAACCACUUCAAUAAUCCAAAUCCAAUUUUAUUUAUAAAGCAUCAAAUCAUAACAGAAGUAAUGUCAGGACACUUUCCAUUCAGAGCUGGUGUCGACCAGACUCUAUCACAUGGUAGGUUAGGCUGGUGUAGUGGUGAGUUAUCUGUAUCACAGACUUCACAUGACUUUCAGUCUGGUUCACUUCCCCUUCCUGACCUCUUUGAGCCAAAGGCCUAGACCCAACUUGGAGAUGGAGCAGAGUCUGUCCUCACAGUUCAAGUUUAUACCUCAAAUACCAAAAAAAAAACCUCUCACAUCAGCAAUUCAGCUGUGGCACAGUGGAAAAGAAAUAGGACAACUGUCACAUAAUCCUACAACUUUUGAGAUUGUGAGUUCAAAUCCCACAGCGGGAUCUAUUUUUUCAAAAUUUCCAUCCCUUCUCACGCCUCAGGGUUUCAGCUGUAUACAUUUCUUAUACUUGGAAAUUGACUCCAACGUCCUAACCUUGAGUUUAGCUCAGUGGUCUAAGCAUCAGGCAAAAGGCACACUUUCACUACAGAUUCCAAGGUUGUGAGAUCAAGUCCUGCUCAAGCACUUGCUUUUCACCCGAAAAACAGAGGAGUGGAAGCAAACACAAUAAAUACAACUUCCAAAUAUGCAGUAUCAGCUGACAGAAUAGCUCAGUGGUUCAAACUAGUGUGAAACUCAUCCCCUGCACUCAAAGGUAGUUAGUUCAAGACCCAUAGAGAACACUUGAGCUUUUACACCCUUUCAGGUCCAAAAAAACACACAAUAAAUACAAGUUCCAAACACAUCAUUAGUAGCUCACAGAUAGCUCAGCCAGAAGGUCAAUGGUGCAAACACAACUGACUACUGUGAGGCUGGCCGGUGGUUCGAUUCCUGGGCUUGCUCGAUAAGGGCGUGAUGAAACCAGGGACUCAUAAUGAGCCCUCACAUGAAAACUAGGGGGGGGUGUAGAAAUUUUUUUAUUGAAAAAGACAGGAAACAGGUGAAAAAAAACACUUCUGCACCCCCCCUUUCACACCCAAGAAAUGCUAUUUCUUACCCACAGGGGCAACAAAUAACAUAACUUGAGUCAGGGGCCAGCCGCUGUCGUCGUCAACACCUGGAAGAAAAAACACAAAAACUCAACAUAACCUUCAAAAAACACACCAAUAGCAUUACACAGACAAUUCAACUCAGUUACUUCACGUUAGGAAAACUACUCAAUAGCGUCAAAACACAACCAAUACAAAUGCACUUUCAAAAAACACAAGACAUAUUCAUGGAACCUCAAAUACAAAACAAACACUAAUCAUUACUCUAAAACACCAGCUCCUCAUCAUCUCCUGCUCCAUAACCCCUCCCUGACACAUCUCAGGAAACACGGAGGGGUCUAGGCCCCCUCCGCCCCUCCCUCUCCGUCCGCUCCCGAUACUCAGCUCCCCCGAGUCUUGAACCUUCAACCUGCCCAUGACAGGCGGCCGGACAACAGCCAAGGACCAAGCCACUGAGCCACCGAGCACCGGGGCGCUAACACCUCCUGUCUCACUGCUUUUCACACAACUGCACAGGACCACAGGCCCAACAACACAUCACAUCAAACAAAAACAUCACAUUUCCAUCUCAUCUGUUUCACUGGAACAAAUUCACUCAGCUUUUACACAACACAAAUCUCUCACACAUUCACACUCACAACCACACUGUACAAAACAUCUCACUUCUCUAAAACCCUUCCAAAUAAAACAUACUAUUGGAGUUGCAGUGGAGAAAACAUCAGGAAUGCAUAUUUCUGGAAACCAACAGUCAACCUGGACUAUGUCUGCAUUAGAAACCAAAUCAAACUUACAAAUCUGGGAAGAACAACCAUUUCACAAACUACACACCUGCUACUACUACCUUGACUCAUCAAAUAAACCAUCUGACAAAAACAGGACAAAAUGCGUCUCAUCCAUUUAACUGGGCCUUUAUGGGACAAAUUCACAGUCAGUAUCUGACUCAUUAACACACACAACCAGACUGUAGAAAAUCUGGAUACAUCUAAUUUUAAUCUGAUCCUAAACUCAAAAAACAAAACUACAAAAAACUAUUCAGUAAACAGUUGGACAAAUUCAUAGAUAAACAUACACUACUUACUCAAAGUCAAUACUGAUUCAGACCAAACAGAGCAACUUCUCUGGCAUUAAUAGAGUCAACAGAGGAAACUACCAACUCAGUAGAACAAAACCAUCACACAGUUGGAGCAUUCACUGACCUCAAAAAAGCUUUUCAGUAAUAAAGAUAAAAUAUCUCACCCAGCAGCAUCAGUAGGUCUGUAUGAUGGUCCUCCAUUUCCAGGACUUCAUUCACCCAGGCAGGAAAUCUACAAGUGGGACAAAAGAAUUACUGACAUUACUUUGACAUCCUACAGAGAACAUGUGGAAUGAGAAAGACCAUCUAUUCUAUGAAAGGCAGAGGGGAAGAGUAAGGUGUGGAGCCACUUCACAAAAGACUCCACGGGCACUAGAUGCAACAUCUACAGUGCAAGAGUUAGCCAGGGCUCCAGCACCAGCAAAGCAAAGAACACAACAAAUUUUCUUUUUUAUCAUUGUGUUUACAGUUUGCUUUUCUUGUAUCAUUGUGUUUACAGUUUGCCUGUUCUUAUUUAUCACUGUUUGCAGUUUGCCUUUUCUUAUUUAUCAUUGUUUGCAGUUCGCCUUUUCUUAUUUAUCAGUGGGUUUACAGUCCUUAUGUUGACAGUGUUACUAAGUAAAGUUCCUUAUUUUAAUUUAGUAGUCUUCUACUUCUUUAUGUUGAUUCAUAUUUUGGGUAUUAUAAGAAUUUAUGUUCAUGUAUAGUAUAUAUCCUGUGUAUAUCAAUGCUCUUAUUUCAUAUAUUGACCAAUAUGCUGGUUAUCGGCCAAUAUAUCAUAUCAGCUUUUUUUUUGUGCCCCAUUAUCAUUUAUAUUGGU
Sphaeramia orbicularis (orbiculate cardinalfish) is the source of this 7272-nucleotide long non-coding RNA. RefSeq lists it as uncharacterized. The record is from RefSeq and is a predicted model, not a curated record. The transcript has 8 exons. Lineage: Eukaryota; Metazoa; Chordata; Actinopteri; Kurtiformes; Apogonidae.